This 466-nucleotide ribosomal RNA is filed under the name uncultured bacterium. Its description in RNAcentral is "partial 16S ribosomal RNA". It matches the Rfam family "Bacterial small subunit ribosomal RNA", at positions 28 to 507 of the family's 1533-position model. The record is from RNAcentral.
GAUGAACGCUGGCGGCGUGCUUAACACAUGCAAGUCGAACGAUGAAGCCCAGCUUGCUGGGUGGAUUAGUGGCGAACGGGUGAGUAACACGUGAGUAACCUGCCCUUAACUCUGGGAUAAGCCUGGGAAACGGGGUCUAAUACCGGAUAGGAGCGUCCACCGCAUGGUGGGAGUUGGAAAGAUUUAUCGGUUUUGGAUGGACUCGCGGCCUAUCAGCUUGUUGGUGAGGUAAUGGCUCACCAAGGCGACGACGGGUAGCCGGCCUGAGAGGGUGACCGGCCACACUGGGACUGAGACACGGCCCAGACUCCUACGGGAGGCAGCAGUGGGGAAUAUUGCACAAUGGGCGCAAGCCUGAUGCAGCGACGCCGCGUGAGGGAUGACGGCCUUCGGGUUGUAAACCUCUUUCAGUAGGGAAGAAGCGAAAGUGACGGUACCUGCAGAAGAAGCACCGGCUAACUACGUG